Molecule: ribosomal RNA, 321 nt
Filed under: uncultured Actinomycetes bacterium
Lineage: Bacteria; Bacillati; Actinomycetota; Actinomycetes
Description: bacterial SSU rRNA
Rfam family: Bacterial small subunit ribosomal RNA
Source: RNAcentral
GACGAACGCUGGCGGCGUGCUUAACACAUGCAAGUCGAGCGGUAAGGCCCUUUCGGGGGUACACGAGCGGCGAACGGGUGAGUAACACGUGGGUGAUCUGCCCUGCACUCUGGGAUAAGCCUGGGAAACUGGGUCUAAUACCGGAUAUGAGCUCCUGUCGCAUGGCGGGGGUUGGAAAGGUUUACUGGUGCAGGAUGGGCCCGCGGCCUAUCAGCUUGUUGGUGGGGUAAUGGCCUACCAAGGCGACGACGGGUAGCCGACCUGAGAGGGUGACCGGCCACACUGGGACUGAGACACGGCCCAGACUCCUACGGGAGGCAG